UUGAUCCUGGCUCAGAACGAACGCUGGCGGCAGGCCUAACACAUGCAAGUCGAACGCUGUAGCAAUACAGAGUGGCAGACGGGUGAGUAACGCGUGGGAACCUUCCCAAUGGUACGGAAUAGCUCAGGGAAACUUGAGGUAAUACCGUAUAAGCCCCUAGGGGGAAAGAUUUAUCGCCAUUGGAUGGGCCCGCGUCGGAUUAGCUAGUUGGUAGGGUAAUGGCCUACCAAGGCAACGAUCCGUAGCUGGUUUGAGAGAAUGACCAGCCACACUGGGACUGAGACACGGCCCAGACUCCUACGGGAGGCAGCAGUGGGGAAUCUUGGACAAUGGGCGAAAGCCUGAUCCAGCCAUGCCGCGUGAGUGACGAAGGCCUUAGGGUUGUAAAGCUCUUUUGCCGGGGACGAUAAUGAC
This 414-nucleotide ribosomal RNA is filed under the name Hyphomicrobium sp. R-40143. Its description in RNAcentral is "bacterial SSU rRNA". It matches the Rfam family "Bacterial small subunit ribosomal RNA", at positions 13 to 455 of the family's 1533-position model. The record is from RNAcentral. Lineage: Bacteria; Pseudomonadati; Pseudomonadota; Alphaproteobacteria; Hyphomicrobiales; Hyphomicrobiaceae.